GCUUUGAAGCGUGGACGCCAGUCUGCAUGGAGCCGACCUUGAAAUACCACCCUUUAAUGUUUGAUGUUCUAACGUGGACCCGUUACCCGGGUUGCGGACAGUGUCUGGUGGGUAGUUUGACUGGGGCGGUCUCCUCCUAAAGAGUAACGGAGGAGCACGAAGGUUGGCUAAUCCUGGUCGGACAUCAGGAGGUUAGUGCAAUGGCAUAAGCCAGCUUGACUGCGAGCGUGACGGCGCGAGCAGGUGCGAAAGCAGGUCAUAGUGAUCCGGUGGUUCUGAAUGGAAGGGCCAUCGCUCAACGGAUAAAAGGUACUCCGGGGAUAACAGGCUGAUACCGCCCAAGAGUUCAUAUCGACGGCGGUGUUUGGCACCUCGAUGUCGGCUCAUCACAUCCUGGGGCUGAAGUAGGUCCCAAGGGUAUGGCUGUUCGCCAUUUAAAGUGGUACGCGAGCUGGGUUUAGAACGUCGUGAGACAGUUCGGUCCCUAUCUGCCGUGGGCGCUGGAGAACUGAGGGGGGCUGCUCCUAGUACGAGAGGACCGGAGUGGACGCAUCACUGGUGUUCGGGUUGUCAUGCCAAUGGCACUGCCCGGUAGCUAAAUGCGGAAGAGAUAAGUGCUGAAAGCAUCUAAGCACGAAACUUGCCCCGA
This 649-nucleotide ribosomal RNA is filed under the name Salmonella enterica subsp. enterica serovar Saintpaul. Its description in RNAcentral is "partial 23S ribosomal RNA". It matches the Rfam family "Bacterial large subunit ribosomal RNA", at positions 2154 to 2802 of the family's 2925-position model. The record is from RNAcentral. Lineage: Bacteria; Pseudomonadati; Pseudomonadota; Gammaproteobacteria; Enterobacterales; Enterobacteriaceae.